Molecule: unclassified non-coding RNA, 591 nt
Filed under: Prevotella bivia
Lineage: Bacteria; Pseudomonadati; Bacteroidota; Bacteroidia; Bacteroidales; Prevotellaceae
Description: partial contains 16S ribosomal RNA, 16S-23S ribosomal RNA intergenic spacer, and 23S ribosomal RNA
Rfam family: Bacterial large subunit ribosomal RNA (bases 483-591)
Source: RNAcentral
CCGGAAGGUGCGGCUGGAACACCUCCUUUCUAGAGCAGGAUGUAAAACCUUGCUAAAGUAGCCAAACAUUUGACAACAAGAUUAAAGUAACCGAUAUAUUUUUAUCAAUAUAUUAUUGUUAUCAAUAUAAAUUGGUUUGUUUUCUUCUUGUACUGCGAGUAAUCUGUAUUAUAUAAAUAAGGGAGUAAGAGUAAUUUUGGUAAACCAAAUAAGGCUCACAGAAAGUUAUAUACUAGGUUCAAGACCUACUACUCCACAUUAGACUAUAAAAUCUCUAUUUUUUAUAGAGUAGUCUUUACGAUCUUUGACAUAUUGCAACAAUGAAUAAACUGUAAGUAUGAACUGUUUUUUAUAAUAUUAUUAUAAUAAAUAGUUUCUAAGAAAAGAAUUCCAUUUCUUUUAAUAGAAAUCACACAACAGCUGAAAGUAUGAGCUACAUACUCUUUUUGCGGUAUUAGUUUACUAGCAAUUAGAGUCGAGCGAAGAAAGUAAGAAAGGGCGCAUGGCGGAUGCCUUGGCUCAUGGAGGCGAUGAAGGACGUGAUAAGCUGCGAUAAGCUUCGGGUAGAUGCAAAUAAUCUUUGAUCCGAAG